GACGAACGCUGGCGGCGUGCUUAACACAUGCAAGUCGAACGGAAAGGCCCUGCUUUUGUGGGGUGCUCGAGUGGCGAACGGGUGAGUAACACGUGAGUAACCUGCCCUUGACUUUGGGAUAACUUCAGGAAACUGGGGCUAAUACCGGAUAGGAGCUCCUGCUGCAUGGUGGGGGUUGGAAAGUUUCGGCGGUUGGGGAUGGACUCGCGGCUUAUCAGCUUGUUGGUGGGGUAGUGGCUUACCAAGGCUUUGACGGGUAGCCGGCCUGAGAGGGUGACCGGCCACAUUGGGACUGUGAUACGGCCCAGACUCCUACGGGAGGCAGCAGUGGGGAAUAUUGCACGAUGGGCGGAAGCCUGAUGCAGCAACGCCGCGUGCGGGAUGACGGCCUUCGGGUUGUAAACCGCUUUCGCCUGGGACGAAGCGUGAGUGACGGUAAUGGGUAAAGAAGCACCGGCUAACUACGUG
This 468-nucleotide ribosomal RNA is filed under the name uncultured bacterium. RNAcentral describes it as "partial 16S ribosomal RNA". It matches the Rfam family "Bacterial small subunit ribosomal RNA", at positions 28 to 507 of the family's 1533-position model. The record is from RNAcentral.